AAUUUUAUUUUUUAUUUAAUAUAUAAUAUUAAUUUUAAUUGUUAAUAAUAGAAUUAACUUUUGUUUUAGUAUUUUUAAAUGAAUCAAUUAUAUUUUAUUUAUAGCUUAUUUUACUGUAAAGGUUUAUUAUUUAUUAUAAUAUAAGUAGAUUUAAAUUUUUGUACCUUUUGUAUCAGGGUUUAUUAAAAUUUAUAAUUUAUUAAUUAUGUUCCCGAAGUUAGAAGAGAUAUUAAUAUUUGUUAUAUAAUGUUUUAUAAUUAAUAAUAAAUAUUUAAUAGAGGUUAUAUGCUAUUCAUUUUUAAAUAUCUGGUUUCUUAAUAAUUGAAUUUAAUUCAUAAUUUAAGUUGUUAAUUAGUAAAAUUAUUAACUAUUAAUAUUUUAAAUUUAAAAUUAUAGGGGAUAAGCUCUAUAAUUAUUUUAUACUAUAAUUUAAUAAUUAAAUAUUUUGUAGGAUUGAAAAUUUUCAUCAUUUAUUUUGUUAUAAUUAAAUAUUUAAUUAUAUUUAUUUUUUAAUUAGUUAAUUAUAUAUUAGGAAUUAUUAUUUAAUAAUAAAAUUUUAGUUAUAAUGAUAAAAUUAGUAGUUUAUUUUAAUUAAUAUAUAGUAACUUGGCAAAUAUAUUCUUCACCUGUUUAACAAAAACAUGUCUUGAUGACUAUAUUUAUAUUAAGUCUAGCCUGCUCAAUGAUUCAAAAAUUAAAUAGCCGCAGUAUUUUGACUGUGCGAAGGUAGCAUAAUCAUUUGUCUUUUAAUUGGGGACUGGUAUGAAUGGUUUGAUGAAGGAAUAACUUUCUUUAUAUUAAAUAUUGAAUUUAAUUUUUUAGUCAAAAAGCUAAAAUUUUUAAAUGGGACGAGAAGACCCUAUAGAAUUUUAUUUUUAUAUUUAUUAUUAUAAUUUUGGUUAUUUUUUUAUAUUAAUAAUUUGAAAAUUUUGUUGGGGCGACAUUGAGAUUACAAAAACUCUCAUAAAUUAAUUUUUAUUAAUUUUUAUAUUUAAGAUCCUAUUUUAUGGAUAUUUAGAUUAAAUUACCUUAGGGAUAACAGCGUAAUUCUUUUGGAAAGUUCUUAUUAAUAAAGGAGUUUGCGACCUCGAUGUUGGAUUAAAAUUAGAUUUGAGUGCAGCAGCUUAAUUUCUAGGUCUGUUCGACCUUUAAAAUUUUACAUGAUCUGAGUUCAGACCGGCGUGAGCCAGGUCGGUUUCUAUCUUUUUAUAAAUAUUAUAAAUUAGUACGAAAGGACCAUUUAUAACAAAUAUUUUGUUUAAUUUUGAAUAACUGUAAAUAU
This 1282-nucleotide ribosomal RNA is filed under the name Chalcopis glandulosa. RNAcentral describes it as "16S ribosomal RNA". The stretch from base 846 to 1204 matches the Rfam family "Archaeal large subunit ribosomal RNA", at positions 2154 to 2712 of the family's 2987-position model. The record is from RNAcentral. Lineage: Eukaryota; Metazoa; Arthropoda; Insecta; Hemiptera; Pentatomidae.